RNAcentral lists this transfer RNA (73 nucleotides) under Danio rerio (zebrafish). It matches the Rfam family "tRNA". Rfam says of the family: Transfer RNA (tRNA) molecules are approximately 80 nucleotides in length. Their secondary structure includes four short double-helical elements and three loops (D, anti-codon, and T loops). The record is from Rfam by way of RNAcentral. Lineage: Eukaryota; Metazoa; Chordata; Actinopteri; Cypriniformes; Danionidae.
GCUGAAAUUGCUCAGUUGGGAGAGCGUUAAACUGAAGAUCUAAAGGUCCAUGGUUCGAUCCUGGGUUUCGGCA